AAGUCGUAACAAGGUUUCCGUAGGUGAACCUGCGGAAGGAUCAUUAUUGAAAUCAAAGGUCCGGGUUGUUGCUGGCCCUCCGGGGCAUGUGCACGCCUGCGAUCGCAUCCAUUUCAUCCCCGUGCACCUUUGCGUGGGUCUGUCGGCUUUGCGGCCUUCAGAUUCGCGUUUCUUAUAUACUCUUGUAUGUCUCAGAAUGUCUUACUUGCGUUAAUCGCAUCUUAUACAACUUUCAACAACGGAUCUCUUGGCUCUC
This 256-nucleotide unclassified non-coding RNA is filed under the name fungal sp. RNAcentral's name for it is "partial internal transcribed spacer region". The stretch from base 1 to 46 matches the Rfam family "Eukaryotic small subunit ribosomal RNA", at positions 1786 to 1831 of the family's 1831-position model. The record is from RNAcentral. Lineage: Eukaryota; Fungi.